AGUGGCGGACGGGUGAGUAACGCGUGAGUAACCUGCCUUUGAGAGGGGAAUAACAAUCUGAAAAGAUUGCUAAUACCGCAUAACAUAUACGAAUCGCAUGGUUUGUAUAUCAAAGAUUUUAUCGCUCAAAGAUGGACUCGCGUCCGAUUAGUUAGUCGGUGAGGUAACGGCUCACCAAGACCGCGAUCGGUAGCCGGACUGAGAGGUUGAACGGCCACAUUGGGACUGAGACACGGCCCAGACUCCUACGGGAGGCAGCAGUGGGGGAUAUUGCGCAAUGGGGGCAACCCUGACGCAGCAACGCCGCGUGAAGGAUGAAGGUUUUCGGAUUGUAAACUUCUUUUAUUAAGGACGAAAUUUGACGGUACUUAAUGAAUAAGCUCCGGCUAACUACGUGCCAGCAGCCGCGGUAAUACGUAGGGAGCAAGCGUUGUCCGGAUUUACUGGGUGUAAAGGGUGCGUAGGCGGCUUUGCAAGUCAGAUGUGAAAUCUAUGGGCUCAACCCAUAAACUGCAUUUGAAACUGUAGAGCUUGAGUGAAGUAGAGGCAGGCGGAAUUCCCCGUGUAGCGGUGAAAUGCGUAGAGAUGGGGAGGAACACCAGUGGCGAAGGCGGCCUGCUGGGCUUUAACUGACGCUGAGGCACGAAAGCGUGGGUAGCAAACAGGAUUAGAUACCCUGGUAGUCCACGCUGUAAACGAUGAUUACUAGGUGU
Molecule: ribosomal RNA, 713 nt
Filed under: uncultured bacterium
Lineage: Bacteria
Description: bacterial SSU rRNA
Rfam family: Bacterial small subunit ribosomal RNA
Source: RNAcentral